Molecule: ribosomal RNA, 1344 nt
Filed under: Brassica rapa (field mustard)
Lineage: Eukaryota; Viridiplantae; Streptophyta; Magnoliopsida; Brassicales; Brassicaceae
Description: SSU rRNA
Rfam family: Eukaryotic small subunit ribosomal RNA
Source: RNAcentral
UUAGGGUUUGAUUCUGGAGAGGAGCCCGAGAAACGGCUACCACAUCCAAGGAAGGCGCGAAGCGUAAAUUAGCCAAUCGACACGGGGGAGGUAGUGACAAUAAAUAACAAUACCGGGCUCUUUGGUAAUUGGAAUGAGUACAAUCUAAAUCCCUUAACGAGGAUCCAUUGGAAAGCAAGUCUGGUGCCGAAGCGCGGUAAUUUUAGCUCCAAUAAGCGUAUAUUUAAGCUGUUGCAGUUAAAAAGCUUUGUAGUUGAACCUUGGGAUGGGUCGCCCGUUCCACCUUCGGUGAGCACCGGUCGGCUUGUCUCUUCUUUCGGUGGUAUGCUCCUGGCCUUAAGUGGCUGGGUCGUGUGCCUCGGUGCUGAAUUAGAGUGCUCAAAGCAAGCCCUACGCUCUGUAUACAUUAGCAUGGGAUAACAUCAUAGGAUUUUGAUCCUAUUGUGUUGACGCCGGGAUCGGAGUAAUGAUUAACAGGGACAGUCGGGGGCAUUCUUAUUUCAUAGUCGAGUUGAAAUUCUUGGAUUUAUGAAAGGCGAACAACUGCGAAAAGCAUUUGCCAAGGAUGUUUUCAUUAAUCAAGAACGAAAGUUGGGGGCUCGAGGACGAUCAGAUACCGUCCUAGUCUCAACCAUAAACGAUGCCGACCAGGGAUCAGCGGAUAAUGCUUUUAGGACACCGCUGGCACCUUAUGAGAAAUCAAAGUUUUUGGGUUCCAGGGGGAGUAUGGUCGCAAGGCUGAAACAUAAAGGAAUUGACAGAAGGGCACCACCAGGAGUGGAGCCUGCGGCUUAAUUUGACUCAACACGGGGAAACUUACCAGGUCCAAACAUAGUAAGGAUUGACAGACUGAGAGCUCUUUCUUGAUUCUAUGGGUGGUGGUGCAUGGCCGUUCUUAGUUGGUGGAGCGAUUUGUCUGGUUAAUUCUGUUAACGAACGAGACCUCAGCCUGCUAACUAGCUACGUGGAGGCAUCCCUUCACGGAGACUAUGGCCAUUUAGGCCAAGGAAGCUUGAGGCAAUAACAGGUCUGUGAUUCCCUUAGAUAUUCUGGGCCGCACGCGUACUACACUGAUGUAAUUAUCGAGUUCACACCUUGACGGACAGGCCCGGGUAAUCUUUGAAAUUUCAUCGUGAUGGGGAUAGAUCAUUGCAAUUGUUGGUCUUCAACGAGGAAUUCCUAGCAAUUCAUCAGCUCCCAUUAACUACGUCCCUGCCCUUUGUACACACCGCCCGUCGCUCCUACAAAUUGAAUGAUCCGGUGAAAUGUUCGGAUCACGGCGACGUGGGUGGUGUAACACCCUGAUCCGGCCGACAAGGCCAUGGUCAAAGCCUUACAUCGCCU